Molecule: small RNA, 489 nt
Filed under: Pan troglodytes (chimpanzee)
Lineage: Eukaryota; Metazoa; Chordata; Mammalia; Primates; Hominidae
Description: retained intron
Source: RNAcentral
AGUGGAAGCUUGCGGUGGCUCUCCAGUGACCAGAGGCAUAGUGAGGUCCCAGGGAGGCUCCCUCUGUCUUGCAACAGUUAUUUGUGAUCUUUUUCUAUGUGCCUAUUGUCACAACAGAGUCCGGCAGCGUCUUCUCUUGAGGGAGCAAUUUGGAGAAGAGCUGGAACCCAGACUCGCGCCCUGGAUGCCAUCCUUUAUCAUCCACAGCAAUCCCAUCUGCCCUUCAGAUAUUUCAACACUCCUCUCAGCAUCCUCCACUUCCCCCAUCUCUCCAAGCUGAACUUGGUUCACAGGGUGGGAUUGUGUAUGUGCAUGCAGGAGGUGGGGGUGGACAGUGCCCUGGGCUGGAAUCCCCCUUAGUUCUAAGUGCCUCCUUGCCCGCAGCUUCGAGAGCUGUGCCCAGGAGUGAACAACCAGCCCUAUCUCUGUGAGAGUGGUCACUGCUGCGGGGAGACUGGCUGCUGCACCUACUACUAUGAGCUCUGGUGU